This 494-nucleotide ribosomal RNA is filed under the name uncultured bacterium. Its description in RNAcentral is "partial 16S ribosomal RNA". It matches the Rfam family "Bacterial small subunit ribosomal RNA", at positions 28 to 507 of the family's 1533-position model. The record is from RNAcentral.
GACGAACGCUGGCGGCGUGCUUAACACAUGCAAGUCGAACGGUGAAGCGCCUUCCUUUUUGGUGGGUGUGGAUGAGUGGCGAACGGGUGAGUAACACGUGAGUAACCUGCCCCCUUCUUCUGGAUAACCACAUGAAAGUGUGGCUAAUACGGGAUAUUCUGGGUCUGUCGCAUGAUGGGUCUGGGAAAGAUAUUGUUUCGGUGGGGGAUGGGCUCGCGGCCUAUCAGCUUGUUGGUGGGGUGAUGGCCUACCAUGGCGGUGACGGGUAGCCGGCCUGAGAGGGUGGACGGUCACACUGGGACUGAGACACGGCCCAGACUCCUACGGGAGGCAGCAGUGGGGAAUAUUGCACAAUGGGCGCAAGCCUGAUGCAGCGACGCCGCGUGAGGGAUGGAGGCCUUCGGGUUGUGAACCUCUUUCGCCAGUGAAGCAGGCCUGCCUCGUUUGUGGGUGGGUUGACGGUAGCUGGAUAAGAAGCGCCGGCUAACUACGUG